GUUGGAUCAGUGUCAGGACUGAAAAACUAUGAGAAAGGUGGGUGAGUGCAUUAGAGUUCGCUUAACAUUAUUAGACAGCAGCAGCUUACUUCCUGUUAUAUCUGCCCUGAAGAGUUAGGGCGGCCUCACAAAGUUAAUGGACUAAUAGGAUAGUUCGGUAUCACGGACACGCCAACAUCAGAGCAGGGGAGGACGGAGAGUCAAUGAAAUAAAGCUGGAAAAGAGCAGCGAAGGACCCUUGAGAAGGGCAUGUGGAAGCUCACGUAGGACUAGGAAGAAAAGCCCCGUUGUGAACCAGAGUGGUGGUGGUGGCGCACAGGCAGGCAGACAGACAGACUGCAGCCCUCCUCAAUGAGAGAAAAGUUUUCACCAAAGGAUUCUGUCCUAGAAUUAAAUCACCUUCAUGUCGACUCUGUUGGAUACUAACCGGCCGAUGCUAUGGUUACCUUUAUUACGGUACAGGGGUUGGGUUUCUUUCAAUUGCACAUAAAUAUUACGAGAGCCCCCUGCAGCUGUGUGGGAAGGCGUGUGGACGUGUUCUAGGGAGUGGACCUGCUGAUGUGGUUGUGUUUGUAUGUUUGGAAAAAUGAUAUCAUAUUCAAGCGGAUUGUUAACUGACAAGUUUCAAAAAAAUCUGGAAGUAAAGUAGGCUAAUGUGUUUUAAGGUAUAUUUGAAAGUCACAUGUACUACUACUACACUUAUAGUACACUUUGUGGCUACAGUAAGCUUUCUAUUGAUUUGUGCAUGUUCAUAUUGCUUAAAGGCAAUACAUAUUUAAUUCGGUAAAAAUAUUUUUUCAUUGCAAAAGCAAAUAAUUAAAACACACCGAACGAAAGUCAAUAAAAGUUUUUGUGGUUCCCAAGUAGCUGUCCUGUUUUAUUGCAUCGGGCUGUAACAGGUUCAAACCCAGCCUGUAAUGACUAUUUUGCAAUAUAUGUCGGGUGGUUAAAAUGACCUGCUGUUAGAUUCCCCCCAAAAGGUUUAGAACUGAGCUGUGAUGGGUUUACAAAUGAAAAUGGCUAAUCAGACGUUUUCAGUUGGUGUGGCUAAAAUGCUCUCUGCAGCACUUCAGCACACCAUCUAUGAAGUGUACAAGCACCACGUGCAAGAACAUCAGCGAUGGAUGCCCCUCGUGCAAAUUCCAAUCCCACAGGUGUACAUAAUACUUAGUUUUUUUCUUCUAUAGCUGUCAAUUCGACUUGAAAGUGUGCGAGUACAUGCAUGGGUGUGCGGGGAGGUUGCAGGAACAGCUGUUGCAGUGGCGGAUUGGAUGCCCUUCCAACCCUUGCCAUGCAGACACAUACGAGCAGGGUGAGGAAUUAGGACAGAGACAGAGACAACGGACGAGCCGCUUGUACGUGGACUUUAUAGGCCCUAAAAAAAGGCCCUUGGAGGCACCCCGAGACAAACGUACUGCCACGGCUUUGGGCGAUUGCGUGCAAGUGGGAGACAGCUGCAACUAUUCAGUUUAACAGUGUUCAUUCAGAGUUUUACUGCAAGAGAAAAGAGAAAAAUGAGAAGUGAGGGGUGUGAACAGGACAUUGAGUUGAAAAAAAGGCUCGAAGAAUACAAGACAAUAUAUCGAUAAGAGGAAUAUACUGUAGUUGUUGUUGCUUUGGGUGACCCAAAUCUUGACUUUGCAUGUUAAAAGCAGAGAUGAUGCGUCCAUAAAAUAUAAAUGACUAACAAUCAGUGAGGAAGAAUGAUUGCCAAGAGUCCAUGUUGAAAUGUCUUGAUGGCUGAAGGGUACAAGAGUUACUUAAAAGACUCCAAGUGUGUUAAACGAUGUGCUGUUUACUUUGGAAAGAGUAGAAAGAACUUCACCAGAGUCUUAAUGGCUGGGCUUUUUGUUGCAAGAGCAAACGUGUACACCCGUUCAUUGACGAUAGAUAAAUACUGAUGAAGCCGGCCGCAUUUAAUCCUCACUCGGAUCUUGUUCUGAAUUCGCAAAAGUCUAGGGACAUACAUACACUAUUCAUGAGUCAUACGGAAAAUGUAUGCUGCCAACAUUGGGGUAACUUUUUACCACAAGGGCCCCUGUGCACAAAGCAAGGUCUGUGAAGGCAUGGUUGGUGUGGAAGAACUUGACUGACCGGCUUAAUGUAUUAAUCAAGAAGGUUAAUUGUGAGACAGGCACUGGUGACCUCUCACUAAUAUCAGACAAGGCCAGGCUCACAAUAGCCAUGUAUACAUGGACCCAAAUAUUCUAAUUCAUUCGUUAUAUUUUCUCAAACAGAAAGAAUUUAACAUUUUGUAUACACCUCAUUCCAAAAGAAAAGUGCCAAUCCGAAUGAAUAUAUAACCGGAUUCACAGAGGUGGAAUAUUCCAUUCCCCAAUCCGAUUGAGGUAUCUUGUACCCACUCAAACGGAAAGUUGUUAGGGUGCGUUCUUCUUCGUCGUGUUUUUCUUCUUCUGUUGUUUAUUGGUGGUUGGCAAGCAGCUUUCGGUGUGCAUUAACGCCAUCUGUGGAACUGAAUCUAAACAGAAUCUAAACACUUCUAUAGUUUAUUCACAAGUCCAGUUUUUCUUAAAAAAGAAAAUAUAUAUCUAUAUAAAACAUGUCCCCAGUUUGAAGAUUGAAUUUGAUCUUUUCCUGUUUAAAUUUGCUCAGAUAUGACGUAACACGCAGCUCGAGACCUUCUUCAGUUUUAAAAAUGGAGACAAACGAUCAGCACUGGACUGCUGCGGAAUGUUCGUUUUUGAUCCAAACAGAAUUUCAAGACUGGACGAACGAAAAACUUGCAAUACGGAGUUAUUCCAACAAGUGAAAGAAAAACUCGGGGAACAUGUGAUGUUUAUGUUUACGCUUUACUGCGCAUGCCCCAUUGACUAUUCUGUUUGAUUAUAGCGGCUCAUGUAGACAAGAGAUUGGAAUAUUCCUUUCCAUGUAUACCAUGUUUUCGGAAAAGUCAUUCGGAAAGAAAAAAAACUGCUCAAACGUGGCUAAUGUCAAUUCCUCCCAAAAGGUGUUAAGGUCAGGGAUCUUGAGUUCUCCCUCAACCAUGCCUCCAUGGGUCUGUCUUUGCACCAGUCAGCGGCUGAAAGACAUCACUGUCUGCUUCACAUUUGGUUGUGCUCCUCUGCUCUGAUGAAGUUGUGGUCGUUCAUCCAGUAUGGUUGCAAUUGUCGAGCCACGCUGGCUCCGUGAUAGUUUAUCCUUUUAGCCGAGUGUUUACAUGCUGCACAUUCUCGUACAUGGCUUGUCCAUGUGCACAAAACAUAAUGUAAAGAGGUAGAUGAUGCAAUGCACAGCUUUCUCUCCUCUGUAGGACACACACACACACACGGAGUUAAGACAGAGUUAUUGCUUCAAUUCGUGACCUUUCUUGUAUCUUGAUAUUUUUAUCUUACAUCUCGGAUAAACUCAUGCCGUGUAAAGACACUGAGAAAAAAAAGCAUUCUCCUUGACCAAUCGAUUGAUUCUGACUGACGGGUGAAGCAGAUAGGAAUCAAGUGGUUUCGAGGUGAUGUUCUGCCUUCCCGCCACUUCCAUCACAUGACGGAUCUGCUCUCCUCUUUGUCCGUUCUGACCCGCUAAUCUGCUUUACUGUCUGAAACUAUUUUCUUUAUCUCCCUCACUUUUACGGCCCGGAUCUUUAUGUCGCUAAUUUUUUUCUCUUUAUGACCCUCUCUCCAUCUUUCAACCUCCAAACGAUCGCUUUUCCCCGAUUCCUCUCACUCAGGUUCCACUUUUAAGAGUGGAUUGUCUGACCUCCAGAUAGCAAGAGUGUCUGUGGAGUGGUGGUGAUUGAUGGAUCCCUUAGUAUGGACCACCUCUCACUUUUACCCAAAGCGUUCUCAUGCAACCUGCAUCCAACACUGAUGUACGGCACUGGGAAAAAUUAUUGGGCUACAAUUUUACGCUUGUAUUUGCACCGUUGUGUAUAUGAAUACAAAACAAAAACAACUAGGGCUAAAAAUUGGAAUAAUAAUAAUAGAUUCGAUUUUUAUAGGGCUUUCCAAGGCACCCAAGGCGCUUCACAAUGAAUUGAACCCAUUAUUCAUUCAGUCCUCAGUCACGCACUGGUGGUGGUAAUCUACAUCUGUAGUCACAGCUGCCCUGCUCCGGAAACGUGGCUGCCAAUUUGCCCCUACGGCCUCUCCGACCACCACCAAAUUCAUUCCCAAUGUGGGAAUGAAUGUUUCAUAAACCUUGUGUCAGACUUCAUUCACACAGUGUAGCACGUAGGAUGAAGCACAGUCCUCCAAUACUGUAUGUAUCUCCAACCGACACGUCUCUAGUUCCUUCAUUCUGUCCUUCGCAUUACAAGCAUGCGAGAUGCCUUCAGCAAUACCCUGAACAUCACAAAAAUGGCUUAAUAAUGUGUGGAAAUAAACAGGGAGAUGAAGGCAAACAUGAAUUGGAUGUUCUGAACACUCACGUCGUAACGCUUAAUGAUUGAAAUGUUGCUACAUGGACGCGCUACACGGAUGUGCGAUGGUAGUGGGUGUGGAGCGGGAAUGAGAAAAAAAAAGAAAAAUGGUGCAAAUAGGAACAUUUGGAGAUCUUAAUACAUUCAAAUAUAUAUCAUCAUUUAUCUUUCUAGUCAUUAAAGACAGUAAAAAUGCGCAUAGCCCAGACAUAGUUGCUAAUGGUGAUUAAUCACAAUUCAUUAAAAUCUGUGAUUAAUCAGAUUAAUCCAAUCAUUUGUUAUAGUUAAAAAUCUUUAAAUGUUACAAUGUUAAGACAUGUCUGAGAACCAGAUACAGGCAUCCCAAGAGCCAUAUCUGACUUGCGAGCCAUAGGUUCCCUUCCACUGAUACACGGUGUUGGAAUUGAUCUGCUGUUGAUGUUUUCAGCUCCGAAUAAAAUACAUGAUGCGCACGAGUUAACAACACUAAAUAUUUUUAUGUAAUCAAUGAAAUAAAAUUGUGCAGUUUUGGAAAAACAG
Molecule: non-coding RNA, 4894 nt
Organism: Doryrhamphus excisus (bluestripe pipefish)
Lineage: Eukaryota; Metazoa; Chordata; Actinopteri; Syngnathiformes; Syngnathidae
Source: RefSeq, a predicted model, not a curated record